GUAAAGGUCAUUCAAGAACCAUCAAGAAAUAAUACUUCUCUAUUCUCUCAACCUAUUCUCUAUUUUCUUUCUAAAUUUCUUCUGUUUCUUUCUCUUCUUUCUUCUAAGUCUCUAUUAGGGUUCUGUAACCCUAACAUUUGGGAUCAAAGCUAUCGAAGCCAAGAACUAGGGGGAAGAUUGGUCUUUUGGGGGUCGGAAUUAUGACUAGAUCAGCUAUAGUGAACCAGGAAAUGGCAAAGAUUGCUGAGUUGGAGGAACAAGUGAGGAAUCUGCAGGAUGUGUCUCAAAACCUGCAAAAUGUGACAGUUAGGAAUGCUGAAGAAUUGAAGGAUUUCAAGGAAGAUAUGAUGAAGAAAACCUCUAGUCAGGGUGUUCUUUUAGAGGAAAUGAUGAAGAAAACUUCUAGUCAUGGUGAGGAAUUGAGAGUUUUUAUUGCUGCAGAGCAAUGUAAAGGAGCUAGUACUUCUAGUAAAGGUGGAAACAGAUCUGAUAAUAUGGGGCCUCAGUCAAUAUUGGGGGAUGGCAGGGGACUGCUGCCCAACCCAAGAGGGACUCAGAAUCUGCAAGAAAGGAAUCAAGUGAAAAAGAACACAGGGAAAGAACCCGAGGAAUCGAG
RNAcentral lists this unclassified non-coding RNA (616 nucleotides) under Hevea brasiliensis (rubber tree). The record is from RNAcentral. Lineage: Eukaryota; Viridiplantae; Streptophyta; Magnoliopsida; Malpighiales; Euphorbiaceae.